GGCGGCGCUGGCGCGGCGACGCGGUCCGGCUGUUCGUGCUGGCCGGGGGCGGGUUUCUGCUCGCCGUCGCGGGCGCGACCCCGGCCGCCGGCC
This 93-nucleotide transfer RNA is filed under the name Actinoplanes sp. OR16. RNAcentral's name for it is "tRNA-Thr". Lineage: Bacteria; Bacillati; Actinomycetota; Actinomycetes; Micromonosporales; Micromonosporaceae. The record is from RNAcentral.